CGGUGACCAUAGCGGAGAGGAAAUACCCGUUCCCGUUCCGAACACGGAAGUCAAGCUCUCUUGCGCCGAUGAUACUGCCUUAUGGUGGGAAAGUAGGAAGUUGC
Molecule: ribosomal RNA, 104 nt
Filed under: uncultured Treponema sp.
Lineage: Bacteria; Pseudomonadati; Spirochaetota; Spirochaetia; Treponematales; Treponemataceae
Source: RNAcentral